ACGUAGGUCACAAGCGUUGUCCGGAAUUACUGGGUGUAAAGGGAGCGCAGGCGGGUAUGCAAGUUGGAAGUGAAAUACAUGGGCUCAACCCAUGAACUGCUUUCAAAACUGUGUAUCUUGAGUAGUGCAGAGGUAGGCGGAAUUCCCGGUGUAGCGGUGGAAUGCGUAGAUAUCGGGAGGAACACCAGUGGCGAAGGCGGCCUACUGGGCACCAACUGACGCUGAGGCUCGAAAGUGUGGGUAGCAAACAGGAUUAGAUACCCUGGUAGUCCACACCGUAAACGAUGAUUACUAGGUGUUGGAGGAUAGACCCCUUCAGUGCCGCAGUUAACACAAUAAGUAAUCCACCUGGGGAGUACGACCGCAAGGUUG
RNAcentral lists this ribosomal RNA (372 nucleotides) under uncultured bacterium. RNAcentral describes it as "bacterial SSU rRNA". It matches the Rfam family "Bacterial small subunit ribosomal RNA", at positions 525 to 896 of the family's 1533-position model. The record is from RNAcentral.